This 253-nucleotide ribosomal RNA is filed under the name uncultured bacterium. RNAcentral describes it as "partial 16S ribosomal RNA". It matches the Rfam family "Bacterial small subunit ribosomal RNA", at positions 524 to 776 of the family's 1533-position model. The record is from RNAcentral.
UACGUAGGCAGCAAGCGUUGUUCGGAAUUACUGGGCGUAAAGAGUGUGUAGGCGGUGUUCUAAGUUUGUCGUGAAAUCUCCCGGCUUAACUGGGAGGGUGCGGCGAAAACUGGAAUGCUAGAGGAUGGGAGAGGUAAGCGGAAUUCCUGGUGUAGCGGUGAAAUGCGUAGAUAUCAGGAGGAACACCUGUGGUGUAGACAGCUUACUGGACCAUUUCUGACGCUGAGACACGAAAGCGUGGGGAUCAAACAGG